GCCUGGGUGGUGAAAUUGGUAUACACGUUAGUCUUAGGAACUAAUGGGUUUAUCCCGUGGAGGUUCGAGUCCUCUCCCAGGCA
This 83-nucleotide transfer RNA is filed under the name Candidatus Moraniibacteriota bacterium. Its description in RNAcentral is "tRNA-Leu". It matches the Rfam family "tRNA". Rfam says of the family: Transfer RNA (tRNA) molecules are approximately 80 nucleotides in length. Their secondary structure includes four short double-helical elements and three loops (D, anti-codon, and T loops). The record is from RNAcentral. Lineage: Bacteria; Candidatus Moraniibacteriota.